AUGUAUACCAUCUUCGAGGGAGUACGAAAGUUAGUCUCUGUUGCUUCUGUAUCAAUUUACUAUAUUACUGCAAAGAAUGACGAUGAGGCCGACCGCGGACGCUUUGUGCUCUCCACCGGCCAUGGAUGCAUGCUCCAGUACGCUCCACUCCAACUCGCCGGAUACCAAGGCAUUACGGGAUGGGUUAGGGUUUGCUGCUGGAUCCAGCGUUUUUCUGUUGAUGGUUGUCGUCUGCUCGUGCUCUCUAUUGUCGGACUGCUGGGAUCUCCCGUUGUUGUGGUUGGCUCGACAGUUAUGAUUUUUGUCGAUGGUCCCAUUGCAGUUCAUUUGAAGCAAAAGAAAGGCAUGCAGACUUGGAUAUCCGAUUAA
This 369-nucleotide ribosomal RNA is filed under the name Triticum aestivum (bread wheat). RNAcentral's name for it is "partial small subunit ribosomal RNA". The record is from RNAcentral. Lineage: Eukaryota; Viridiplantae; Streptophyta; Magnoliopsida; Poales; Poaceae.